Sander lucioperca (pikeperch) is the source of this 165-nucleotide long non-coding RNA. RefSeq lists it as uncharacterized. The transcript has 2 exons. NCBI's taxonomy places the organism in Eukaryota, Metazoa, Chordata, Actinopteri, Perciformes, Percidae. The record is from RefSeq and is a predicted model, not a curated record.
GGACCUCCUACAUGGAAGUGGUGUGAAGUUGGACUGUAUUAUCACCGAUCGUCAACCUCAGACCGAAAGGUUCCUGAGAGAACGUAAAAUCACCCACUACUACGAUGUAUGGCAUGUAGCAAAAGGGUUUUCAAAGAAGCUGGAACAACUUGGCAAAGACAAGGA